GUCCGAGGAAGAAGGAUGAUGAUGGGAGGCGUUGUGGCGAGCAGAAGUUCGCUUUCUCUUCCCCAUAACAAAAAGAAAAGUGAUAGUUUAAUAUAAAAAAGAUGGUGUAAGCUAAUGGCCAAGAAUUGAUUAGAAUCGAAGGGUUUUAGUUUGGCCCUAUUGUUGAAGGUUUUUCGUAAUGCCCUGUAGAUUUGCGGUGUUGAAACUCUGAG
This 212-nucleotide unclassified non-coding RNA is filed under the name Hevea brasiliensis (rubber tree). Lineage: Eukaryota; Viridiplantae; Streptophyta; Magnoliopsida; Malpighiales; Euphorbiaceae. The record is from RNAcentral.